AUGUGGAGGUUGUAAUUGAGACCUAGCAGCUGGCUAGCUAUAGCAAAGCUCGAUGGCAAGGAGCUGGUUGAUAUGUAAUUGGUGUAGUUGUUAGCUGUAGAACCUCAGAAGCUCGUGGGCUUAACAGCUCUAAGAUGGCCAAAGGAACUUCAAACUUCAACCGAAACCGAGAAACGAAAGAGAUUGCAGAUCCAAAGGAAGCAAAAAACACUAGUCAAAAUGGAUGGAUUCAAUCAACUAGAAUCUGUAGUUAACAGAUCUAAGUUUGUCAAAACACAAAUAUCACAUCAUUACAACAAGCAGUAAUCUAGGGCUGUAAACGAACCGAACGUUCAGCGAACAGUUGGUGAACUGUUCGGCGGAAAGUUCGUUUAUGUUCGUUCGCUUAAUAAACGAACGAACAUGAACAAGAAAUUCCGUUCGAUUAAUUAAAUGUAUGAAUAUGAAAAGAGGUUUCGUUCGUUCGAUUGUGUUCGUGAACGUUCGGUAAGGUGUUCGUGAACGUUCGGUAAUUUGCGUUCGUUUAUGUUCGUUUGUUUGUGUUUUAAUUAAAGAAUUUUGUACUUUCAAAUAUUAUCUAUACUUU
RNAcentral lists this long non-coding RNA (586 nucleotides) under Helianthus annuus (common sunflower). RNAcentral's name for it is "hypothetical non coding rna". Lineage: Eukaryota; Viridiplantae; Streptophyta; Magnoliopsida; Asterales; Asteraceae. The record is from RNAcentral.